RNAcentral lists this ribosomal RNA (490 nucleotides) under uncultured bacterium. RNAcentral's name for it is "partial 16S ribosomal RNA". It matches the Rfam family "Bacterial small subunit ribosomal RNA", at positions 28 to 507 of the family's 1533-position model. The record is from RNAcentral.
GAUGAACGCUAGCGAUAGGCUUAACACAUGCAAGUCGAGGGGCAGCAUGGUCUUAGCUUGCUAAGACUGAUGGCGACCGGCGCAUGGGUGCGUAACGCGUAUGCAACUUGCCUCACAGAGGGGGAUAACCCGUCGCAAGACGGACUAAUACCGCGUACACUCCAUCUUGGGCAUCCAAGGUAGAGGAAAUGAAACUCGCUGUGAGAUAGGCAUGCGUCCCAUUAGCUGGUUGGUGAGGUAACGCCUCACCAAGGCGACGAUGGGUAGGGGAACGGGGAGGUUGAACCCCCAGACUGGUGCUGAGACACAGACCACAAUCCUACGGAAGGGAGGGGUGAGUAAUAUAGGUCGAUGAGCGAGAGCCUGAACCAGCCAAGUCGCGUGAAGGAUGACUGGCUUAGGAAUAGUAAACUUCUUGUAAACGGGAAUAACAUGAGUCACGUGUGACUCCCUGCAUGUACCGUAUGAAUAAGCAUCGGCUAACUCCGUG